RNAcentral lists this long non-coding RNA (2966 nucleotides) under Homo sapiens (human). Its description in RNAcentral is "non-protein coding LINC01182:4". The record is from RNAcentral. Lineage: Eukaryota; Metazoa; Chordata; Mammalia; Primates; Hominidae.
AGUAGUGUGGGUGGACGAGGACAGCGGGUGGAACUGGUCCUUCUGUGACUUUGCAGCCCCGGCUUGGUGAUAAUUUUUGUGCAGGCUUCUUGACAUGGAAAGCAGAGCUCCCCAGCACAGAGUGAGCCUCCGAAGGGCUCCUGCCCUUACCGGUGCCCUACCCUCCCUUUCCCUGCUUGCUACACUUGGGUCCGGGACUCAGCCUCCCUUUGCAAGCUUCUGCUCGGCCUGUGUGCAGCUGCACUUAGCUGGCAGGGUCAGGCGUUGAGUAGCCGCUCCGCUCCUUCUGCAGCCUCCUGCAGCCCCCGCCAGCUCCCGGGCUCCAUCCCUCACCAUCAGUUGCUGAUUGGCGCCCCCUGCGUGCACAACGGAGGCUGGCUGCACCUGGAGGUUCCCAGCAAUUCCAGGCCGGCUCCAGCCUAGCCAAAGCAGCUAACUUCUCUGCUGUCUCGUGGGCUGAACCUCACCGUUUCCCAAGAGGAGCUGCCUGGCAAUGGUAGCAGGUGAAGGUCAUGGUGAAGAAGAUGCAGAUAUUGGCAAUUUGGAGCAUUAGAUGAACUAAUUACAACGUUAACCUAAGGAACAGUGCAACAGAAAAUGGGCUAAGACAUGGAGCAAGGGGCAGAACGACUCUUGAAGAUGCUGAGCAACUUCUGCUUAUAAAGUUGAUUCACUGACUGCUGGUUUGAAAUGGUGUCUGCUAACAAACAGUUGCUGGUACAGCUUCUCUGUAAUGUGAGGUAAAAUACCUAUAAAAGCUUAGAAGAAGAUGUAAACUCAGAACACAGCCAUAAACUUGGACUGACAAUCCCCUGAAGACUGGAUCUGGGAGGACUUUUUGCCAAUAGUACUGCCAAUGAAACUGAAAAGAAAAGAACAUUCUAUGGGUGUGGGUGUGUUACUGAGGAAAUGCUCUGUAGGCAAGAGAAGUCCAGGAAGAAGUUGCACAGAAUACUAUUUUAGUCUACCAGAACCACGGUUAGUAAAGCCUGCUGGAAUGUGGAGCUGAUCUAGGAGCUGUGGGCAUUCAGCUGGUGAGUUAUGAAAUGGGAAAAGUUCCCUUAUCCCACUAGCAGGGUGUGUGAUGGGGGGAGUGACUCGUUUCUUUGGUGCCUGCAGCUCAAACCUCUAGGGGGAGUAUGCAGAUGGGCAGAUCGUGGGGAUCAUGGACUCCAACCCCACAGCAGUGUCUAGGGUUGGGUGUUUACAGCUCUGGAAGCCCCAGUGUGUUACAGUGUGCUCUUUCAGCUUAGAUAUCUGCAGGCGGCUUGUGUUAAUCAGCUCAAUCAGACCCUCUGCCUUAUCACAAGGACAUAGGGCUUUCUGUAUCCCGGGGUUCUUGCAGUAGUGUACUGGAAAAAUCAGAUCACGUGUUGGCAUGGAGAAUGAGUGCAAGGUUUUAUUGAGUGGUAGAAGUAGCUCUCAGCAGAUGGAUGGGGAGCAUGAGAGGGAUGGAGUGGGAAAGUGGUCUUCCCUUGGGUCAGGCUGCUCUGUGGCUGGGCUAUCCUCCAACUGUCCUCAGCCAAAUUCCACGUCAUCCCACCAUCAAUGGCCUGCCAGUGUCUGUUGGUGUGUUCUUCUGCCUGUGUGUUUCUCUUGACAUCCACACACUUGUGUGUAUGCCUGCUAGGGUCUCGGGGGCUAUAUAGGCACAGAAUAGGGGGCAUGGCAGGCCAGAGAGAUCUUGGAAAAUGCAACAUUUGGAUCUGAAAACAGGAGUGCCUGUCCUCCCCUGGGUUCGUGAGACUCAGACAAUUUAUUUCCUGAUUAUUGAUUGGGGGUGAGUGGGAGAAGGGAAAGUAUCUGAGGACAUAUUCUACAUUACCAAAAUUGAUUACAAAUGAAGAGGCCAAGAAUGAGAAAGGCAGGGCCUGAAGAGCCUGAUGGAUCUGCCUUCACUCAAAUUGGACUCCACUCUCAGGAUUUCAGUCAUGGUGCAGUUGUGUAUCCAAGGGCAAAGCUUGGCCUCGAUGUGAUACCCUCAUUGGUUUUGCUCUUCCUCCAACUUUCAGGGGAAUGUGUUUCCAGAAUCCUUUAUUCCACCUUUGAUGUGAAAAUUGGGUCCAUGAUUACAAAUGGCUGAUCCAUGUGGGGCUUAAUGCCUAGGUGACGGGUUGAUAGGUGCAGCAAACCACCAUGGCACACGUUUACCUGUGUGGAGCCCUCACUGGGGACCCCACCCUUCUCUACCCAGCAUUUUCUGCCCCCCUCCCAUAUCUGUUACACCUUGAAACAGAAGAUUUGACCAGAAGGAAGUAGGGUCAAGGAACAUUCAUCCUUGAGGUCUUCUGGUAAACACUAGACUUUGAUACAUUUUAUUUUAUUUGGGGAUGAGAAAACUACAAAACAUGAAGAAUAUGAGCCUCAACAAGGACAGCAAUCACAGUGGAGAAAUAUUGAGCACUGGUCAUCCAAAAUUAUUGUGAAAGCUCCCAGCAAGAUCAAAUCCUUGACACCCAUCUGCUGAAGGAAAUAGAUUUUUGUUUUAAGGAAAUUAUUUGGAGUCCUGAGAUUCAAGGACAAACCUUGCAUCUCAUCUCUUUUGGAUUUCUGUUGGAAAUAGGACAAAUGUUUCAAAGAAAGAACAAAAUGUCAUGUAAAAAGAACUGGAUAAGAUAAGGAAGAAUUUAUAGGCAGCCAAAAGUGCAACAGCAGAAUUACAUUAGCAUUAACAAGCAGUGGAAAACUUAAUUGAGAUUAUGGAAAAUCAUAUUGUAUUAUAAGGGACAAAUUUUAGAACUCUCCUAGAAAGUAUGGGACAGAGAUGAAAAUGAUGAGAGAGCAUGUGUUUGUUUAAAAAGUCUGAGAUAGUAGCUUUAACUUAAGAAUUAUAAGUCUUUCUACUUGAGAGAGAAAAGACAAAUAAAAAAUACUUCCAAAAAAAUUCCUACUUAUAAAAACCAAUGUAUAAAUGUUAAAAUUGGUUCUUUAAGUUACAAGUAAUGUUAGUAAAACAAGCAGCAAAA